GUUAACGAAAUUUUUUGCAAUGUGAAGUUUUCUUUGAGUAAUUUCAUCGUGUGUCCCUACAUUUUGCUCUCUGCUGCUCUGUUUUUGUUUGCGGAUCAAAAAUCUUUGCGUUUGAGUCAAAAAGUUUUGGAUGCAAGUUACAAUCGUCUCAGUGGGCGGGAUCAACCUAGUUGAAUGAAAGACCCGUUUCUAUUGGCCACUACUGUCACCAUUUGGCCACGCCCACCACGGAAGUCUGCCUGUAGAACGAGGAGAGCGAUGCUGUGCUAUGGAGAGCGGCAUAUUGUUUGUAAGGAAUGAUUGGGAGGAUUGUAAUCAGAGAGGCCAAGAAAGAUGUCAAUAUCACUUUGUAAUGCAAGAUCUGUUGUGGAGAGGAUGCAUUGUGUGGCAUCCUCAUCUCUGCUGUUGACUUCAAACAAUUCAAUUUUGUUCACAUUUAUUUGUAUAGCGCUUUGAACAGUUUUGAAGUCCUCGUGAUGGCCGAUGUCAACUUUCCUUAUGUGUAGGUUCAUCUGAUAGAGACAGGAUCCAGACUGGAGUUGGUGUAAUCUGAAGUUUAAAAAAAAGCAAAUAGAGAAAAUUACCAUAGCUGCUGUUUAGAGCUUUUUAGGUUAAGGAUAAUUUUAAAAAAGUUAUUUAUAAACUUAAUGCAAAGUUACAGGAUGAAAUUAUGUUUAUGCACACUGAAGAGGUGUCUUUAGGCUAGAUUUAAACUGGGAGGGAGUGUCUGAACAGUCUCAGUAAGGCUGUUCCACAGUUUCCAUAGGUGGAAAAAAACUUGCCCUGCUUUGGUAGAUUUUGCUAUCCGAGGAACUACUAAAAGUCUGGAGUUUUGAGAUAUUAAGGAGCAUGAUUGUUUGUAGCGCAUACUAGAAGUUCUGUCUGUAGGAGCUAAACCAUUUGGGACUUUAUAAGUGAGUAGCAAUAUUUUGUAAUCGAUACAGAAUUUAACUGGUAACUAUUGUAGAGAUGCUAAAUUUGGGGUUAUAUGAACUUGCGUGACCUUGUAAGAACUCUAGCAGCUGGGAUUUUGCACUAAUUGUAGCCUAUUAAUUAAGGAUGCAGGACACCCAGUAAUCUAAUCUAGAUGUCAUAAAUACAUGAACAAGGUUCUUCACAUCUGAGACGGUUGAUAUGUUCUGCUGGAAGAAGGCUGCUUUUGUGAUGUGAGAUAUGGGUUUCAAAAGAAAGAUUUCUGUCUAAUAAAAGUCAUUUACUGUAUUUGCUGAGGUGACCAACGUCAUUUCAUUUAAAAACUGUACUCCAAAUUAUUCUGCUUACAGCUCUUUGGUCCCAUGAGUAGUCCAAGUAUCUUCAUGUAACUUUUUUUUAAUCAGAUCUUGGAAUCCCCAGCCAUCCUUCCUGUCAUUGCCUGACUUCAAUGUAACCUCUAGUGAAGAAUCAUCUGAGAAAUAAAUACAAAUUACUGAGAUACAAAACAAGUGUUGUAUAUUUAGUGUCUUACUAAACAUUACAUGGGCCUUUGGACAAGACAUUUUGGGGCGGUUUCCCGGACAGGGAUUAGACUAGUCCUAGACUAAAAUAAAUGUAAGAGCUGUCAAAACUGAAAACAACUUGUGCUGACAUAUCUUAAAAUACAUCAGUGCCCUUUGUUUUGCCUCAAAAUGCACACAAGUAACGUUUUUAGUAAGGCAUGUUUGUUAAACCUUGUUAUAUUUCCUAAUUAAACUAAGGCCUAAUCCUGGUUUAAGAUAUUCCCUGUCCAGGAAACCGCCCUUAAAUGCUUUUUUCAUUUGUAAAUGGAUUUGAAUAAAGGCAUCUGCUAUGUGAAUAAACAUACAUUCAAAUUUCUUCAACUGGAUAUUGUUUGAAUACAUAAACAUUUACAUAAGUGCCAUUA
This is a non-coding RNA of Misgurnus anguillicaudatus (oriental weatherfish), 1861 nucleotides long. The record is from RefSeq and is a predicted model, not a curated record. Lineage: Eukaryota; Metazoa; Chordata; Actinopteri; Cypriniformes; Cobitidae.